GCCAUAUCACAUUGAAAAAACCGUUUUCUUAUCCGAUCACGAAAGUUAAGCAACGUUGAGCCUGGUCAGUACCUAGAUGAGUGACCGCUUGGGAAUACCAAGUACUGUAAG
This is a non-coding RNA of Acanthosepion pharaonis, 111 nucleotides long. The record is from the annotation of a GenBank genome assembly. NCBI's taxonomy places the organism in Eukaryota, Metazoa, Mollusca, Cephalopoda, Sepiida, Sepiidae.